This 82-nucleotide transfer RNA is filed under the name Chlorokybus atmophyticus. Its description in RNAcentral is "tRNA-Leu (TAG) (tRNA-Leu-TAG-3-1)". It matches the Rfam family "tRNA". Rfam says of the family: Transfer RNA (tRNA) molecules are approximately 80 nucleotides in length. Their secondary structure includes four short double-helical elements and three loops (D, anti-codon, and T loops). Further hydrogen bonds mediate the characteristic L-shaped molecular structure. tRNAs have two regions of fundamental functional importance: the anti-codon, which is responsible for specific mRNA codon recognition, and the 3' end, to which the tRNAs corresponding amino acid is attached (by aminoacyl-tRNA synthetases). tRNAs cope with the degeneracy of the genetic code in two manners: having more than one tRNA (with a specific anti-codon) for a particular amino acid; and 'wobble' base-pairing, i.e. permitting non-standard base-pairing at the 3rd anti-codon position. Lineage: Eukaryota; Viridiplantae; Streptophyta; Chlorokybophyceae; Chlorokybales; Chlorokybaceae. The record is from RNAcentral.
GCCUCUGUGGCGGAAUUGGUAGACGCAACAGUUUUAGGAACUGUCGCUAUACGGCGUGGGGGUUCGAGUCCCCCCGGAGGCA